RNAcentral lists this ribosomal RNA (253 nucleotides) under uncultured bacterium. RNAcentral describes it as "partial 16S ribosomal RNA". It matches the Rfam family "Bacterial small subunit ribosomal RNA", at positions 524 to 776 of the family's 1533-position model. The record is from RNAcentral.
UACGGAGGGGGCAAGCGUUAUUUGGAAUUAUUGGGCGUAAAGGGCGCGUAGGCGGCUAGAUGUGUCAAAGGUGAAAUCCCUCGGCUCAACUGAGGAACUGCCUUUGAAACUGUCUGGCUUGAGGCCGGGAGAGGGUAGCGGAAUUCCCAGUGUAGCGGUGAAAUGCGUAGAUAUUGGGAGGAACACCAGUGGCGAAGGCGGCUACCUGGACCGGUUCUGACGCUGAGGCGCGAAAGCGUGGGUAGCAAACAGG